Molecule: ribosomal RNA, 745 nt
Filed under: uncultured bacterium
Lineage: Bacteria
Description: bacterial SSU rRNA
Rfam family: Bacterial small subunit ribosomal RNA
Source: RNAcentral
ACGCUGGCGGCAGGCCUAACACAUGCAAGUCGAGCGGUAGAGAGAAGCUUGCUUCUCUUGAGAGCGGCGGACGGGUGAGUAAUGCCUAGGAAUCUGCCUGGUAGUGGGGGAUAACGUCCGGAAACGGACGCUAAUACCGCAUACGUCCUACGGGAGAAAGCAGGGGACCUUCGGGCCUUGCGCUAUCAGAUGAGCCUAGGUCGGAUUAGCUAGUUGGUGGGGUAAUGGCUCACCAAGGCGACGAUCCGUAACUGGUCUGAGAGGAUGAUCAGACACACUGGAACUGAGACACGGUCCAGACUCCUACGGGAGGCAGCAGUGGGGAAUAUUGGACAAUGGGCGAAAGCCUGAUCCAGCCAUGCCGCGUGUGUGAAGAAGGUCUUCGGAUUGUAAAGCACUUUAAGUUGGGAGGAAGGGCAGUAAAUUAAUACUUUGCUGUUUUGACGUUACCGACAGAAUAAGCACCGGCUAACUCUGUGCCAGCAGCCGCGGUAAUACAGAGGGUGCAAGCGUUAAUCGGAAUUACUGGGCGUAAAGCGCGCGUAGGUGGUUCGUUAAGUUGGAUGUGAAAUCCCCGGGCUCAACCUGGGAACUGCAUUCAAAACUGACGAGCUAGAGUAUGGUAGAGGGUGGUGGAAUUUCCUGUGUAGCGGUGAAGUGCGUAGAUAUAGGAAGGAACACCAGUGGCGAAGGCGACCACCUGGACUGAUACUGACACUGAGGUGCGAAAGCGUGGGGAGCAAAC